GGCGCGCCGGCUCCCGCCCGCGACAGCCGGGGUGCCGCGGGGCUGGGCGCCGUGCCCUGCGCCCUGCUGGGGUCCCUGCCCGGGCUGGGGGCUGCUCCGGAAAGGCCCGGGCGUCUGCCGGCCUUCUGGGGCUGGCCCCGAGAGCCUUGACUAUGCGCUGAGCCCCUCUGGAUCGGAGCACCCCAGGACUGGGGCCAGAUCACCAGGGGUGAUUUACUGACAGUGCCUUUCUCUAAAGCCACGGGUCUGAGGUCCCUCUCUCAGGACCACCGCCUGCCCUCCGCCACCAGCCCACAUCAGUCCUGCAACGCGGGAGCACUGGAGACUCCAGGAGCGCUGGAGAUGCAGAAAGAAGAAAGACCCCGGGUGCUUCCAAGAGAGUGACUUUUGGCUGGUCCACAGGGGCACCCCACAAAGGGCCUCCCAACUCCGCUACCUCUGUUUUCUCUACCAAGGCAUGCAGAUUUCCUGGGCACAUGCCCUCUAGAAAAAGAGAUCUGCCUAGUGCUUGAAGGGGUACAAAGAUUGGGUGGAUCCAGAACCUCCAGGCUUUGGGGACAGCAGGCUGCAGGGCUCCAUAAUCCACGUGUAUAAUAAUAACAACACGGGAGGCACAGAGGCAGGAAAGGACAGGGAGGGCAGGGGAGAGGGCUAUGGCUAAGGAACUGUGGUUAUUAGAGGAUUCAAGAAAAUGGACAAAAGGGUAGAGUUUCAAGGAAUCAGGGGAAUGGAUGAGGUCAAGAAGUUUCAACAAAAGUUU
Lontra canadensis (Northern American river otter) is the source of this 760-nucleotide long non-coding RNA. RefSeq lists it as uncharacterized. Lineage: Eukaryota; Metazoa; Chordata; Mammalia; Carnivora; Mustelidae. The record is from RefSeq and is a predicted model, not a curated record. The transcript has 3 exons.